CCCCUCUAUUCCCUCCCCCCUCUAUUCCCUCACCCUGCCUAUUCAUUCAUUACCCUUUUCUAUUCCCCGUGCAGACAAAUCAAUCCUCCGUGUGCACCUUCACACAAAGCAGGCCCUAUUGACUUUCAUGACUGAAUCUUUCAUCUUUCCCCUGUUUGUUUGUUUGCCCGUCUGUGAGCAAGGUCUUUAUAUUGUGUAACAGAAAUACCUUGUGGAAUAGAGGUGAAACUUACAUGGACUUUUGAAUCAGGGGCAUUUCACACAAACACUCCAUUAUCUUAUUUUUUUAAAGGUGACGUUAGCAUUACUGAUGAUCUUAUUUAUUUAUUUAAAGGUGACGGUAGCAUUACUGAUUAUCUUAUUUAUUUAUUUAAAGGUGACGGUAGCAUUACUGAUUAUCUUAUUUAUUUAUUUAAAGGUGACGUUAGCAUUACUGAUUAUCUUAUUUAUUUUUUUAAAGGUGACGUUAGCAUUACUGAUUAUCUUAUUUUUUUUUAAAGGUGACUGUAGCAUUACUGAUUAUCUUUUUUUUUUAAGGUGACGUUAGCAUUACUGAUUAUCUUAUUUAUUUAUUUAAAGGUGACGUUAGCAUUACUGAUUAUCUUAUUUAUUUAUUUAAAGGUGACGGUAGCAUUACUGAUUAUCUUAUUUAUUUAUUUAAAGGUGACGUUAGCAUUACUGAUUAUCUUAUUUAUUUAUUUAUUUAAAGGUGACGUUAGCAUUACUGAUUAUCUUAUUUAUUUAUUUAAAGGUGACGUUAGCAUUACUGAUUAUCUUAUUUAUUUAUUUAAAGGUGAUGUUAGCAUUACUGAUUAUCUUAUUUAUUUAUUUAAAGGUGACGUUAGCAUUACUGAUUAUCUUAUUUAUUUAAAGGUGACGUUAGCAUUACUGAUUAUCUUAUUUAUUUAUUUAAAGGUGACGUUAGCAUUACUGAUUAUCUUAUUUAUUUAUUUAAAGGUGACGUUAGCAUUACUGAUUAUCUUAUUUAUUUAUUUAUUUAAAGGUGACGUUAGCAUUACUGAUUAUCUUAUUUAUUUAUUUAUUUAAAGGUGACGUUAGCAUUACUGAUUAUCUUAUUUAUUUAAAGGUGACGUUAGCAUUACUGAUUAUCUUAUUUUUUUUAAAGGUGACGUUAGCAUUACUGAUUAUCUUAUUUAUUAUUUUAAUGGUGACGUUAGCAUUACUGAUUAUCUUAUUUUUUUUAAAGGUGACGUUAGCAUUACUGAUUAUCUUAUUUAUUUAUUUAAAGGUGACGUUAGCAUCACUGACGUCACCGUUGCUCCCGGGCCGAUAGUCUGAAAACAUUGUGCCGUCUGACGUUAAGACUAUAUAUUGACAAGCCCUGUAAUCCAUUUGGAAAUAUAAUGAAAUUGAACCCACACAUGUACUGACAUGCUGAUUAACUUCUUGUCUGGUCACAGUAUUCAUUGAAUGAGGCAUAUCUACACUGAACGAGGCAUAUAUCUACACUGAACGAGGCAUAUAUCUACACUGAACGAGGCAUAUAUCUGCACUGUGAAUGAGGCAUAUAUCUACACUGAACGAGGCAUAUAUCUGCACUGUGAAUGAGGCAUAUAUCUACACUGAACGAGGCAUAUAUCUACACUGUGAAUGAGGCAUAUAUCUACACUGAACGAGGCAUAUAUCUACACUGUG
Oncorhynchus tshawytscha (Chinook salmon) is the source of this 1656-nucleotide long non-coding RNA. The record is from Ensembl. NCBI's taxonomy places the organism in Eukaryota, Metazoa, Chordata, Actinopteri, Salmoniformes, Salmonidae.